This 253-nucleotide ribosomal RNA is filed under the name uncultured bacterium. RNAcentral's name for it is "partial 16S ribosomal RNA". It matches the Rfam family "Bacterial small subunit ribosomal RNA", at positions 524 to 776 of the family's 1533-position model. The record is from RNAcentral.
GACGUAGGGCGCGAGCGUUGUCCGGAUUUAUUGGGCGUAAAGAGCUCGUAGGCGGUUUGUCGCGUCGUCCGUGAAAACUCACAGCUUAACUGUGAGCUUGCGGUCGAUAUGGGCAGGCUAGAGUUCGGUAGGGGAGACUGGAAUUCCUGGUGUAGCGGUGAAAUGCGCAGAUAUCAGGAGGAACACCGGUGGCGAAGGCGGGUCUCUGGGCCGAUACUGACGCUGAGGAGCGAAAGCGUGGGGAGCGAACAGG